Salvelinus sp. IW2-2015 is the source of this 262-nucleotide non-coding RNA. Lineage: Eukaryota; Metazoa; Chordata; Actinopteri; Salmoniformes; Salmonidae. The record is from RefSeq and is a predicted model, not a curated record.
GUAGAACAGUGAGCAGAGAGGUAGACAGUAUAUGGAGAGGUAGAACAGAGAGGUAGAACAGUGUGGAGAGGUAGAAUAGUGUAUGGAGAGGUAGAGCAGAGAGGUAGAACAGUGUGGAGAGGUAGAACAGUGUAUGGAGAGGUAGAACAGUGUGGAGAGGUAGAAUAGUGUAUGGAGAGGUAGAGCAGAGAGGUAGAACAGUGUGGAGGGUAGAACAGUGUAUGGAGAGGUAGAGCAGAGAGUAGAACAGUGUGGAGAGGUA